RNAcentral lists this ribosomal RNA (556 nucleotides) under uncultured bacterium. RNAcentral's name for it is "bacterial SSU rRNA". It matches the Rfam family "Bacterial small subunit ribosomal RNA", at positions 98 to 687 of the family's 1533-position model. The record is from RNAcentral.
GCGCACGGGUGAGUAACGCGUGGGAACCUGUCCUGUGGUACGGAAUAACAUCGGGAAACUGGUGCUAAUACCGUAUAUCCCCUGAGGGGGAAAGAUUUAUCGCCAUAGGAGGGGCCCGCGUAGGAUUAGCUAGUUUGGUGAGGUAACGGCUCACCAAGGCGACGAUCCUUAGCUGGUCUGAGAGGAUGAUCAGCCACACUGGGACUGAGACACGGCCCAGACUCCUACGGGAGGCAGCAGUGGGGAAUAUUGGACAAUGGGCGAAAGCCUGAUCCAGCCAUGCCGCGUGUGUGAUGAAGGCCUUCGGGUUGUAAAGCACUUUCGCACGUGACGAUGAUGACGGUAACGUGAGAAGAAGCCCCGGCUAACUUCGUGCCAGCAGCCGCGGUAAUACGAAGGGGGCAAGCGUUGUUCGGAAUUACUGGGCGUAAAGGGCGCGUAGGCGGUGCACUAAGUCAGGCGUGAAAGCCCUGGGCUCAACCCGGGAAUUGCGCUUGAUACUGGUGCGCUUGAAUCCAGGAGAGGUUGGUGGAAUUCCCAGUGUAAGAGGUGAAAU